This 473-nucleotide long non-coding RNA is filed under the name Arabidopsis thaliana (thale cress). RNAcentral's name for it is "ncRNA (AT5G02985)". The record is from RNAcentral. Lineage: Eukaryota; Viridiplantae; Streptophyta; Magnoliopsida; Brassicales; Brassicaceae.
AGUUGUGCAAUCACUCACAUGUUCCACUUGCUGUUCCUGUCUCUUUGUAUGGUUGUGUCCUUUUCAUACAAAGUCAUCGGGGGCGAUUUUGUGCAAUUACAGUCCUCAGAUUCUCUGUGAUCUUCUCUUCUUUAAGUUAAAACAUUUCGUACCAAUCACUUUUUCUAACUCCUAUUUACACUACUACACUACUUUUCAAACAUAUGUACCCACUCAAUUUUUUCAACUCUUCUUCUCCGAGAUUUUUCUUCUGAUUAAUUGAUUGUUUUUAUUUGGUUUCGUAACGUACUUUCUCUUUAAUUACCCGAAGUAAGGAAAAAACGAGUUAAUAUAUUAUAAACUAAUUAAUAAAGAGAGAGAGAGUAAUAAUGAGGCGUGGGGUGUAGUGAGGUAUGGAGGAAAAGUGGGGCCCACGAGCAUGAAAAUCCAACCGUACAUCAGAAAGAUUCCCCUAUUAGAUACGUGGGUCCCAU